GUCGAACGCGAAAGGGACUUCGGUCCCGAGUAGAGUGGCGCACGGGUGAGUAACGCGUAAGUAAUCUACCCCUGUAUUCGGAAUACCCCACCGAAAGGUGAGCUAAUACCGGAUACGUUUAUCUUGAUGCGAAUGAUGAUAAAGAAAGGUGGCCUCUUCUUGAAGGCUACUGUACAGGGACGAGCUUGCGUACCAUUAGCUAGUUGGUGGGGUAAUGGCCUACCAAGGCGACGAUGGUUAGCGGGUCUGAGAGGAUGAUCCGCCACACUGGAACUGGAACACGGACCAGACUCCUACGGGAGGCAGCAGUGAGGAAUAUUGCGCAAUGGGGGCAACCCUGACGCAGCGACGCCGCGUGGAUGAUGAAGGCCCUUGGGUCGUAAAAUCCUGUCAGAUGGAAAGAAAUGCCACAGGGCUAAUAUCUUUGUGGUUUGACGGUACCAUCAAAGGAAGCACCGGCUAACUCCGUGCCAGCAGCCGCGGUAAUACGGAGGGUGCAAGCGUUGUUCGGAAUUACUGGGCGUAAAGCGCGCGUAGGCGGUUUGCUCAGUCAGAUGUGAAAGCCCUCGGCUUAACCGGGGACGUGCAUUUGAAACUGGCAGACUUGAGUAUUGGAGGGGGUGGUGGAAUUCCCGGUGUAGAGGUGAAAUUCGUAGAUAUCGGGAGGAAUACCGGUGGCGAAGGCGACCACCUGGCCAGAUACUGACGCUGAGGUGCGGAAGCGUGGGGAGCAAACAGGAUUAGAUACCCUGGUAGUCCACGCCGUAAACGAUGUCAACUAGGUGUUGGGAUGGUUAAUCGUCUCAUUGCCGCAGCUAACGCAUUAAGUUGACCGCCUGGGGAGUACGGUCGCAAGAUUAAAACUCAAAUGAAUUGACGG
Molecule: ribosomal RNA, 880 nt
Filed under: uncultured bacterium
Lineage: Bacteria
Description: bacterial SSU rRNA
Rfam family: Bacterial small subunit ribosomal RNA
Source: RNAcentral